Molecule: ribosomal RNA, 305 nt
Filed under: uncultured bacterium
Lineage: Bacteria
Description: bacterial SSU rRNA
Rfam family: Bacterial small subunit ribosomal RNA
Source: RNAcentral
AUGCCCCUACGGGGCGCAGCAGUAGGGAAUCUUCCACAAUGGGCGAAAUCCUGAUGGAGCAACGCCUCGUGGGUGAAGAAGGUCUUCGGAUCGUAAAACCCUGUUGUUAGAGAAGAAAGUGCGUGAGGGUAACUGUUCACGUUUCGACGGUAUCUAACCAGAAAGCCACGGCUAACUACGUGCCAGCAGCCGCGGUAAUACGUAGGUGGCAAGCGUUAUCCGGAUUUAUUGGGCGUAAAGAGAACGCAGGCGGUCUUUUAGGUCUUAUGUGAAAGCCUUCGGCUUAACCGGAGUAGUGCAUUGGG